This 89-nucleotide ribosomal RNA is filed under the name Anopheles minimus. Its description in RNAcentral is "partial 5.8S ribosomal RNA". The record is from RNAcentral. Lineage: Eukaryota; Metazoa; Arthropoda; Insecta; Diptera; Culicidae.
UGUGAACUGAAGGACACAUGAACACCGACACGUUGAACGCAUAUGGCGCAUCGGACGUUUAAACCCGACCGAUGUACACAUUCUUGAGU